GCCCUUAAGUUCUUCUUGGAGUAUGAUGCAGGGUUUGCAUAUGUAUGUUUUUAUUAUUUCGGUCCCACAUUUGAUGUUGCAUUUGUUGUGUUGUAAAAAUAUUCACCUAUGUUUCAGGUUGGAUCUAGAAGUCUAGUGUCACAUAUACACAAUUCUCGUCGAAUUGUAAAUGUUUCAUUUUUUUUUUUUAACUAAUUCGGUUUCUUCUUCAAGUUGUUGCUUUGAAU
This 227-nucleotide long non-coding RNA is filed under the name Mytilus galloprovincialis (Mediterranean mussel). The record is from RNAcentral. Lineage: Eukaryota; Metazoa; Mollusca; Bivalvia; Mytilida; Mytilidae.